Molecule: non-coding RNA, 220 nt
Organism: Pelobates cultripes (western spadefoot toad)
Lineage: Eukaryota; Metazoa; Chordata; Amphibia; Anura; Pelobatidae
Source: the annotation of a GenBank genome assembly
GCAAUCCCUUGUAGCAGAUUCCCCCAAUAAGAUACAGGACUCUAGAUUGAGGGUGAAGUAGAACUAGUUUAAUGAGCACAAAGGCAUUUCUUAUAUACAGUUUUCCCCACAAGGUUACCACCCACAUGGACCUUGUGGUGCACAGGACACAAAGUCACAACAGCCAAUCAACAUAGUAUUGUACAGUUAGACACUCCCAGCUAAUGCACACAAACCCUCC